Molecule: long non-coding RNA, 887 nt
Filed under: Trifolium pratense (red clover)
Lineage: Eukaryota; Viridiplantae; Streptophyta; Magnoliopsida; Fabales; Fabaceae
Description: long non-coding RNA (TPRA_LNC013522)
Source: RNAcentral
AACAAUUCAAAAAAAAAAAAUUAUCAUAAUUUUUUCUUUAUAACAUAAUAUGAAUCCAAACAUAAUAUAAAAAAAAAUAUUGAGAUUGAGAUACAAAAAACACAUGAAAACUAAGAAUCUUAAAUCAACUAGUGCCUCCACAAUACAGAGCAAAGCCUUGCAACAAAAAGAGAAAGGAUUCAGAAAGAGAAAGAUAAAAAAAAAAAAAUUAACCGUAAAAAAAAAAUUUAAAAGUUUGAGGGUUUAUACAAUUUCAAUCCUUGAGCCUNNNNNNNNNNNNNNNNNNNNNNNNNNNNNNNNNNUAGAUCUAAUAAAAAAAACAUAAACAUCUAAAAAAAAAUCAUAAAAGAUCUUUUUAGUGUAAAUAUCAAAAUCAAAUUACCUAAAAAAAAAAAAAAAUUCUACCUAAACAAAAAAAAGUUCCUUCUUUUAACAGUAACCUAAGAGAAAGAAGAAGCAGUCAAAAAAGGAAAGGGAAUAAUAGAAAAAACAAUAAAAGAAAAUCAAAAAAGGAAAAAAAAAACUUACCUUUCUUUUGCAUGUAAUUUUGUUGAUUUUCUAUGCAUGAUUAUGUAAAGAUCUAGGUUUUCUAUUUUGGGAAUUUUCGGAUUCAAGGUUUGUUUGAUAUUCUAUUGUUUGAUUGGUGUUUUUUUUUGACACAUUGUUUAAUUGGUGUUUAAAACUAAAAAAUAGGGAUUUUUGGUUAAUUUUUGGAUUUUUUGACAUUCCAGUAGGGGUAGAUGGCGGCCGGCACGGCGGCGCCGGCACCAAAGUUUGGCCGGACGGUGACCGCCGCCGGAAAACUCAUCCAAGAGGAUGAACAUGAUGAACAAGGUGGGAGAAAAGAGAGACUAGAGAGAGAGAGCAAGUGAAGAGAGAGGAUGAAA